UAAAUACUGGUAUGUUGUUGUUGUUGAGAGAACAACUCGAUUCGACAACAAAUAAGUGAUAACGACAAAGUGGAAGAACAUGGAAAGUCAGACACUGCGAUUCCUCGUGAUUUUAUCUUGUGUUUUGAUUGGUGUAUUUUUAACCAAUGAGGUUAGAGGACAAAUAACAUUCUCCAAAGACUGGCAAGCAGGAAAGAGGUUUGAUGAUUGUUCGUCAACAUCUUUGCAUUUGUUGAUAAAGGUUUAUCAUCUUCUUCAGAAAGAAAGCGAGAAGCUGUUUAAGUGUAGACUCUCUACAUCAGAUAGGAUGUUACGAGUGGACUGAAACCUGGACACCAGAUGGCACUGUUUUUGUGUAGCUGACGAAAUUAAAUGACACAGUAUUAGGCUAAUAUAUUUAUAGUGUUUGUUUAAUUAUAUAAAACUGAAAGAUAAUCUAGGAUAUUUACAAAAUUUCUAGUUCUUUUUGGUUGAUCUGUAUAUAGUGCUAUUUAUUAAAUGCUAUAAUAAAUCUCAAUAAAGAUUACAUGAUAUACUAAGUACAUUCAUGGA
Molecule: long non-coding RNA, 552 nt
Filed under: Limulus polyphemus (Atlantic horseshoe crab)
Lineage: Eukaryota; Metazoa; Arthropoda; Merostomata; Xiphosura; Limulidae
Description: uncharacterized LOC111085774, transcript variant X2
Source: RNAcentral